This 111-nucleotide small RNA is filed under the name Salmonella enterica subsp. enterica serovar Heidelberg. RNAcentral describes it as "partial RtT sRNA". It matches the Rfam family "RtT RNA", at positions 1 to 110 of the family's 130-position model. From Rfam's summary of the family: This family represents a bacterial cis-regulatory element known as RtT RNA. The exact function of RtT is unknown although it is thought that it may be involved in changing the cellular response in relation to amino acid starvation. Lineage: Bacteria; Pseudomonadati; Pseudomonadota; Gammaproteobacteria; Enterobacterales; Enterobacteriaceae. The record is from RNAcentral. RNAcentral also lists the same sequence under 3 other names.
AUAUCUCUCCGUACGGGAAGGAUGAGAAGCUUCGACUAAGGUUCGAUUCGAGCGCAGCGAGAACGCGUUGCCGCAGGCAACGACCCGAAGGGCGAAGCGCGCAGCGCUGAG